UUCCGUAGGGUGAACCUGCGGAGGGAUCAUUACCGAGUUUACAACUCCCAAACCCCUGUGAACAUACCUAUACGUUGCCUCGGCGGAUCAGCCCGCGCCCCGUAAAACGGGACGGCCCGCCCGAGGACCCCUAAACUCUGUUUUUAGUGGAACUUCUGAGUAAAACAAACAAAUAAAUCAAAACUUUCAACAACGGAUCUCUUGGUUCUGGCAUCGAUGAAGAACGCAGCAAAAUGCGAUAAGUAAUGUGAAUUGCAGAAUUCAGUGAAUCAUCGAAUCUUUGAACGCACAUUGCGCCCGCCAGUAUUCUGGCGGGCAUGCCUGUUCGAGCGUCAUUUCAACCCUCAAGCUCAGCUUGGUGUUGGGACUCGCGGUAACCCGCGUUCCCCAAAUCGAUUGGCGGUCACGUCGAGCUUCCAUAGCGUAGUAAUCAUACACCUCGUUACUGGUAAUCGUCGCGGCCACGCCGUAAAACCCCAACUUCUGAAUGUUGACCUCGGAUCAGGUAG
Molecule: ribosomal RNA, 509 nt
Filed under: Fusarium equiseti
Lineage: Eukaryota; Fungi; Ascomycota; Sordariomycetes; Hypocreales; Nectriaceae
Description: eukaryotic LSU rRNA
Rfam family: 5.8S ribosomal RNA (bases 182-335)
Source: RNAcentral